Sus scrofa (pig) is the source of this 3236-nucleotide non-coding RNA. NCBI's taxonomy places the organism in Eukaryota, Metazoa, Chordata, Mammalia, Artiodactyla, Suidae. The record is from RefSeq and is a predicted model, not a curated record.
GAAGCUAUGUGAGGACACAAACAGAAGGUGGCUGUUUGAAAGCCGGGAAGUGAGCUCUCACCAGAAGCUAACCCUGAUCGCACCUUGAUCUUGGACUUCUGUCCUCCAGAACUGCACUGGAGUCCCAGCAGUGAGGAUGAUGUAAUUUGAUGUGAUCCCAUCUCCAAGGAGCUGUGACAGAUGAUAAAGAGGUAUUCAGCUUAAACACAAUAUUCCUAACCCUGGACCUUGCUAUAAAGUGCUCUCUUGGAGGUGAGAACUGAGGAAAUACUACAGAAAGAAGGAGGAGGCAGAAAGAACACUAAGACUGAGAGGUAUCAAUAUUGAGAAGAGCUUCUGAGACUGGUCACUUGUUCAUUCGUGUAUUGAGUUAGAACACCCAGUAUAUUUGGACUUUGUUGCAUGCUCAGACUGCUUCUUCUUCAAGAUAGCUUAUUCUAGUUUCACUGAUGCAAUAUCCUCUAGGAAAAAGAAAAUCUGACUCCUUGUAUCAAAUUUAUUUCAGUGAUAGGCCAUUUCUCUUCAUCUUCCUCCUUGUAUACUACAGGAUCUUUUCACUGGUCCAGUGGUUUUUCUCUUAAUCCCUCUAAGGUGAAGCAAAAUUCCCACUGCUAAAACCUCUUUCAUCCUUCAGCUCUCAUGCUGGGCAGAUGUCCUUGACACCCUAGCUCUCUGGGAAUACAGCCCUCCCCAUGGUCUCUCCUUGCCUCUUGGUACUGGGAACUCUGUAGAAGUGAUGUCUUCCUAGUACUUCUUGCUUCUCAUGUUCAGUGCCCAUGGAUCAAUCCCAUAUGACUUUUAAAUCUGGUUCAUAUUUUACCAUAUAGGAUAAUUUCCUUAAGAUUCAGAGUAAUGACAACAUGGCUAGUUUCUAGUACUCAUUUUAUGAGUUUCCAUGGAGAUCUGAGAGUAUGGUAUGGUAUGGAAUCAAAGUGAUGUAAAAAAGUAUUUAACAACUGGUUAUGGCAUGGCUCAACACAAUCAGUGUGGGUUUGGCCUCAUACAACCAGCAUGGCUGUGCUGAGAUGUACCAGCUGAAUACCAGUCUUCACCAGAAGGUAGAUUCCUAGGCCUACUUAACUGUCUCAUCCAAAAGCCCUGGCCAGAAUGAAGUUUACACUUUGGAGCUAAUCAUAUGUUCAAUAGCAGCCAGUUUUCCUUAGCAGCCAGGAGAUACUGAGGUAUGUUGGAUGAAAUGGCAAUAUUUCCUUGAACAGCACAAGAAAGAGCUCACUUCUCAGCAGAAUGUGUUCUUGGUGCUAUUCUUGUAUCUUUCCCUUUCAUAACACAAUCUAAGUAUUGCUUAUCCUUUCACUUCCUGUUGUAUUGCAUUCUUGGAGUUGUAGUCUCUGACCAGAUGUCUAGAGAGUGGAUUAGAUGAGGAAGGUAGGCGGGCAGCCAAGACGGACAAGCUGGACACUUCAAGAAUGGCCAUUUUUUGUUGUCUUUUCUGGAAUGUUAGCUCCAUGCAAACAAGGGACUUGCCUGUUUUGAAAUUUUCUUUGUUUAUUUUUAGCACUUUAUCCUCAGGUCUUAGAACAGGAGUUCAGCAGAGAGCUGACUAACUGAACAUGUGAAUGAAUGAGCAGGCCAAUUCCAGAUGCUCUUCUCAGAGUUGCUGCUUCUUCAUCCUUGCAGUUCCUUUCCUCCAAUGACUCUUUUUCUCUCCUCAUGUCCUUUGCUGCAGUGUCUCCCCUGCUCUCACCUCAGGAGGGCUCCCUGGCCUGUUGUGGGCCACGCUCAACAGGAAUCAGAGUUUAUGCCUAGCAGUUGUAUGACUGGACUCAUGCAAUCUGCCCUGGUCCUCAAGCAGAGACCUUGCUUUGGAGGUUGGUGCCUCGUUAAGUGCAGGAACCACACUCCUGAGGCCAUUGUACAAACUGUUUCAGAUCUGGACUGCCACUUUCAAUCACACACACACACAUACAUUGUUGGUAUUAAUUCAAGCAGAGGUUACUUUGAAAAUUAGCCUUUGACCUUGACUGUAGAUUUCACCUGAGCCAUAGGUUAGGGUGGGGUAGAGAUGCAGAUGGAGCAGGCUCAAGGCUUGAAGCAUGAGGCCCAGAGGACACAAGGGCAGCUGACCUGGGCUACUUUUGGCAGGCAGCCCCCUCUUUGGGCUACAGAGCCUGGAGAAGCACCCUCACUUGUCCAAUGCUAUAAAGGCAUCUCAGAAGCCUCCCAAGCUCAUACUGCCCCUGGUGCAGAAAUGGGGGUGGGGCGGGGGUAGGGACUGAGCAGCUGCACAUGGCCUGCCUCUGCCCAGAGGCCUUUCUUACCUUGUAUGGGUUUGCUUGGGGUCCUCCUCAUGAACCCCAAGGAACACUGCUUUAUUUUAGUUUCAAGAGUAAACCUGUUUUGGUAAGAUUACUUGGGCCUCUCAUUGGAUAGAAUCCUCUGGUUUUAUCUAGCUCUUGCUCAAACGUCAUUUCAUUGAGUCUGGGUCUGAGGACCAACCCUACCACUUUCUACUCUUGAAAUCCUUUAGUUCCUGUUAGUGUCCUUCAGAGUUGUUCUUUGGAUUGAAUUGGAAAAUGUUUAUCCAUUCUUCAGUGUGGUAUCUGGCACCUAUUGGUGCUCACAUGGGCCAGCUGCUUCUGCAGAGCCUCAUCAUAGCCACAUGGAGAGCUAGAGGGGACCCUCCCUCCCGAGCACCCCAAGAAUAGAUGAUCUGGAAUCCAGACCCCAGCCCAGUGCUCCUUCCUUUCACAGGGCUCUCUUGAGGCUGAGAAAUUUAAUGACUAUAUGAAUAUCUUUGUCAGAUUUUCUCAGGCAAAAAGUAUGUCUUAACUCUCCAUUUGCUGUCCUUAAGAGACCACCAGGAGCUGCUCUGCUUUGUCUUCAGCAUGACCACCUGCUGGAGAAACUCUUAACCACUGGCCCAUAUGGGAUGGGCUGCCCAUCCCUCCUUUCUAGAUGCACAGGCCCUGGCAAUGCCCUCCCUUUGUGUGUGCAUGUGAGUGAAAAUGUUGUGAACUCCUGAAUCCUAGGCUUUUCCCAGAUUUCUGCUAUAAUUCCAGAACAGCAGUGUUGGAGUCACUUUGGAAUAAAUAAAAAUUUUAUUUUCAGAUAGCUUUGAUCAUGAUGAUUUACAUAGAGCUAAUCCAUUUUUCUUUGUUUAAGGCUGAAGCAUGGUUAAUAUAUCCAUUGCUUGUAGAAUAUGUUACUUCCUAUGUGGGCCACCUAUGUGUUACUUAAAAACAAUAUUUGGGGUCAUGUGGAAUAAAGACCUACAA